GAAAAGAAAAAAAAAAGAAGAAUAGAAGAAGAAGAAGAAGAAAUGGACAUACUUUAGCUGCGACCGUUUUGUUCCUCCAAGGUAGAGCCACCACUUGGAAAUGGACAUACCUUAGAUGCGACCGUUUUGUUCCUACAAGCUUCAUAACAUCGCCACAAGCAGGAGCUCCAACUAAACCGAUGCCGAUGAACGGGAUGUGAUGGGAUCUCCUUGACGUUAGCCCAAUCAACCGUUUUGAUGCCAGACUCAGCAUUUUCGCUGUCGAUUUUCAAUUUUCACUACUAUGGAAAAAAUUCAUGCCUCAUGAUAGCUAAGAACUUUUCUAGGUUCGUCUGCCAACAUUUUGUCCCCAAUUUUUUUUCCAUUCUGGGCCUAAUUUUAGGUAAAUUCCAUGUCAAUCUGCCUCAUCAGCUAAUUGGGUUAAUUGGGUUUCCAAUGUGAUAAGUUAAUUGUCCACAUCGGCGAUCCCAUUAAGACAAUAAUAGAAAAUGUUAGUAAAUGACUGAUUUGUCAGUUUUUUAUAGCGUUAGUGACUGUUUUGUUAUUUUUCUAAAGUUGAGUGACUGAAAUAAAAUCUAUGUGAUUGUUUUGUCAA
Long non-coding RNA from Gossypium raimondii (Peruvian cotton), 595 nucleotides. RefSeq lists it as uncharacterized. Lineage: Eukaryota; Viridiplantae; Streptophyta; Magnoliopsida; Malvales; Malvaceae. The record is from RefSeq and is a predicted model, not a curated record. The transcript is spliced from 2 exons.